This 1168-nucleotide long non-coding RNA is filed under the name Olea europaea subsp. europaea. Lineage: Eukaryota; Viridiplantae; Streptophyta; Magnoliopsida; Lamiales; Oleaceae. The record is from RNAcentral.
AUUUCCCACUAUUUGCUCGACAGAAAAAUCCAUUUGCUUAAUCGUAGCAUCAUUCCCAUUGUCAUUUCUUACAAAGAAGGUAUUUCUCUAAUUCCAUCGCCCUUCGUUCUCUGAGCUGUUCAUCUUUCUCUGGCUUGCAUUCUUUUAUUUAUCGGGAAACCGUAUAUUGGUUCGAUGAUCGGUGUAAGGAAAUGAGUAUUUUCGCUAAAUCUUUCGAUCCUGUGUAGCUUCAUUUUCAUUUGAUAUAUUCUAGGUUGUUUCAUUUAUUGUUUAUUUUAUUUUAUUUUUUAAUUUUUUUGGUUUCUUCUCUUGCUCUGAACUUUCGAUUUGUCAGGAAAAGGAAGAUUUUUGGGUAAGUCUUUCGAUUCUGUACCAUUUAUUGACAUUCUGAUGAUUUGAUUGAAUGUUAGUAAUGUUCUGUGAUGUUUCGAUCUUCUAUCAGAUGGGGAUAUUCGUUGGGUCUGGCUGAUAGUUUUUAUUUUGGGCUUCAGGCGUUGAAUUAUGGUUUUGGAUGUAUGUUUAUGGUAUAGGGAUUGGGCUUUGAAGAUGAGAAGCCUAUGCAUGUGUGGUAAUUAAGGUGAAUGCAGCAAGUGUAGGCAAAUGGAUAUAGGUUCUGUUGGUAUAUUAUGUAGUAAAUGAAGAGGUUGUGACGAUGAGAUAUUGAAAAUUUGAUUUGAGCGUGGUAAGUUUCAUCCUGUAUCUUAUCGUGGCAACCUGGACGGUCAGGCAAAACUAGUCGUUGUCCCUACUGCUUGUGCAUCAAUGAUAAGCAACCAUGGUAGGGCCGAUUUAUUCUUCGCCGAUGAAUGGAAUGUGUGUAUUUGAGCCAAUAAUUCUUUUUUCCAUUCGAUGUAGCAUGUUUGGCUGCGGAUGUGGCAUCUAGUCAUUCCUAAACAGGUUGGCAAAUUAAAACUAUCGAGUAAUAUUUGCAACUUAGUAGUGGCUAAUGUGAUAUUUGCAGCUUUGAAGGAAAGUUAAGAAAGAAACAAUCAUUCCUGACCCAUAUUAUUGUAUCCCAGCAAUCCGCCCGAUAUCAUUUUAGAGUACGAUUUUUUUUCUUUUGCUUUCCAAUAUGUACUCUUUAUUUUAUUUGAGAUUAAGCGUUAUCGCAAAAUGCCGUUUAAAGUUAAACUGAGUUAUAUUAAGAUAUAUGAACCACUAUUCACUU